Molecule: long non-coding RNA, 20484 nt
Filed under: Nicotiana tabacum (common tobacco)
Lineage: Eukaryota; Viridiplantae; Streptophyta; Magnoliopsida; Solanales; Solanaceae
Description: long non-coding RNA (NTAB_LNC003721)
Source: RNAcentral
AAUCCCUCACCAAACUCCAGUGAAAAUAAGUCCAAAAGGCAGCAAAAACCUGCUGCAAAUAGCCCCUAAAAAUACAGCACCUUUACUCCCACAAAACGCUAUGAAAAUCAUCAUCAAACAACCAUAACUGCUGCCCCAAAAAUAGCCCUUAAAGCUCCAUGAGAACGCAGCAAAAUCAGCACCAUUAAAGCACCAAAAUGACCUCAAAUCGGCCGCCGAACCAGCUACAAAACCAGCACCAAACAGUCCCCAAAACACCAUGUAAAGCAGCCAUUAACCACCCCAAACUCCUGCUGAAAUUCAGCUCCAAACCCAGCUGAAAAACAGCCCUUCGAAACCAGCAAAGCAGCUGCGAAAAUGACUCCAUAACACAACCAUGAAACUCCUCAAAAUUCCACCUGAAACCAACGUGAAAAUCAGCUGGGAAAACUCAGCUGAAAUCUGCCAUUGAAAUGCACCAAAAUCAGCCUCCGAAACACCUCAAAUCCACCCCAAAACGCAGCCAUUAAAGCUGCUCAAAACCACUCAAAAACGAGCAAAAAGGGACCUGAAACAGUAGCUCAAAUCGCUGCUAAUUCUACCAUGAAACAGUACCAAAAUACUACCAGAAUUCCAGCCGAACAAUCCUUGGAACACAAGUUUUAAGUCGAGUUUGAGGUUGCGGAUGAGGUCGUGGUUCGUUAGCUCCGGUCGAGUCCAUCUGAAAUUCAGUAUAUCGGAGAGUUUGUAAAAGACUAGGUUUGGAGGCUCUUUGUUCUGUUUGUUCAGAUUCGUCUGAGGUUCAUUCUUCUUUACAGUUUUCGCUCCUAAUACAUUUUUUAUUGUCAGUUUUCUUCUGAUAUUUGCUGCUUUGUCCUAUUAGUUGCUUGAGUUAGUGUUUCGCUGAUUUUUUUCGCUGUGCUUUUGUGGAAAGUUCAAUGCAUUGGUUUAUCCUAUUUUUAUGAUUGUUUGGAUUAUAAUUAUAUGGGUGUAGCUUGGUGAACAAAUUAAAAAGUGUUGAUGGGUCAUGAGCUUUUAGCUUUUAUAAAAACGGGAAAGCUCUGCUUGGGACUAGCUAUUGUAAUAAAAUUAUUUCAUUAAGUGGGCAGGGGAAUUUGCUUCUCUUUCAAGGAUAAUUGGUCAUAUUGGAGAGUGGACCUUUUAAGUAUAAUUUAAUGGAGUCUAGAUAUAGCUGCUCCGUUUGCACUUAGUUUGCUGGCCCAUUCACAAAUUGGUUGGCCCAAUUAUUGUAAAUAUAUAAGAUGUUCUUUUCUUUAACUACUACAUGGGCCAACUAUCAAUGAAAUUCAUAACAUCUUCCCCACGAUUUUACUUCGAUAACUUCGUGCCUCGCAAUAAUAUCAAAGGAGAGAAUGAAUAAUAAACACCGUUAGAGUGCUUUAGGUGCACUUUUAAUUUAUUAUCGUGAUUGUGUACAUGUUCGCGUGACAUGAUUACGAUUCCCAAAAUAAAUCAAAGUACGCGUUCGCGCGACUUUGGCCAAAUAAUCUUAAUAAUAAUAAAGUAUUAUUAAUUGUGUAUACGUACGCGUGACAUGAUUUUCGCACACCAAAUAAAACAGAUUUAUACACAUGUGAUCCGUUUCCAAGAUAAAUCCAUAAAGCGCCAUAAUUAAAAGCGGUAAAAGGUAAAACGUGCAUAGGUUAUAAAAAUACUUAAUUAAACAAUUUAAUUAAGCCAGGUAUGAUUAAAAGCGACCGUGCUAAAACCACAGAACUCGGGAAUGCCUAACACCUUCUCCCGGGUUAACAGAAUUCCUUACUCGGUCUUUUAUUUUUUGCAGACUUUAAACAUAGUUAAAUUUCCUCGAUUUGGGAUUUAAAAUAAACCGGUGACUUGGGACACCAUAAAGUAUUCCAAGUGGCGACUCUAAAAUAAAAUAAAUAAUCCCAUUUCGAAACCGGUGAUUGUCAUGCCAAGACCGUGACGCUGGCUAUGCCAGGUGUGAUGUUUAUCUAGCCUUUGUGAGGGAUGUCAGUGCUGAUCCUCCUACCGUUGAGUCAGUUCCGGUAGUGAGAGACUUUCCUGAUGUAUUUUCAGUAAAUUUUCCAAGCAUGUCGCCCGAUAGGGAUAUCGAUUUUGGUAUUGACUUGUUGCUGGAUACUCAGCUCAUUUCUAUUCCAUCAUAUCGUAUGGCCCCAGCGGAGCUGAAGGAGCUAAAGGAGCAGUUGCAAGAGUUACUUGAUAAGGGAUUCAUUCAGCCUAGUGUGUUGCCGUUGGGUGCUCCGGUCUUGUUUGUGAAGAAGAAGGAUGGUUCUAUACUCAUGUGCAUUGAUUAUCGUCAGUUGGACAAGGUUACAGUGAAGAAUAAGUAUCCAUUGCCACGUAUUGAUGACCUAUUUGAUAAGCUACAGGGUGCAAGGGUAUUCUCCAAGAUUGAUUUGCGGUCAGGUUAUCAUCAGCUGAAGAUUCAGGAUCCAGAUAUUCCAGAGACUGCCUUUAGGACUCGGUAUGGUCACUACGAGUUCCUCGUGAUGUCGUUUGGGCUGACCAAUACCCCACCAACAUUUAUGCACCUGAUGAAUAGUAUAUUCCAGCCUUAUCUUGAUUCAUUUGUCAUUGUGUUUAUUAACGACAUCUUGGUGUACUCCCGCAGCCGGGAAGAUCAUGAGCAACACUUGAGGAUCGUGCUCCAGACCUAGGUCAUGUGGUGUCGAGUGAAGGGAUCAAGGUAGAUUCGAAGAAUAUUGAAGCAAUGCAGAUUUGGACUAGACCAUCUUCAGCUAUAUAGAUCCGGAGUUUUCUUGGUUUGGCCGGGUAUUAUCUUCGUUUCGUAGAGGGUUGCUCAUUUAUUGCUGCACCUAUGACGAGAUUGACCCAGAAGGGUGCUCCUUUCAGAUGGACUGAGGAGUGUGAGGCGAGUUUUCAAAAGCUCAAGACUGCUUUGACUACAACCCAAUGUUAGUGUUGCCUACGGGCUCCGGAUCCUAUACUGUGUAUUGUAAUGCGUCACAUGCUGGCCUUGGCGCGGUGUUAAUGCGAGACGGUAGGGUGAUUGCCUACACAUGUCGACAUGUGAAGACCCAUGAGAAGAAUUGCCCAGUCCGCGACUUGGAGUUGGAAGCCAUUGUUCAUGCAUUGAAGAUCUAUAUGCAUUAUUUGUACGGUGUCCAUUGCGAGGUCUUUACCUACCACCGGAGUUUGCACCAUCUAUUCAAAUAGAAAGAUCUUAACUUGCGGCAUCGAAGGUGGUUAGAGUUACUUAAGGACUAUUAAAUCACCAUUCUAUAUCAUCCCGGGAAGGCUAAUAUGGUGUCCGAUGCCUUGAGUCGAAAGACGGAGAGUUUGGGUAGUUUAGCAUAUCUACCGGUAGCAGAGAGGCCAUUAGCAUUGGAGGUUCAGGCCUUAGCCAACCAGUUUAUUAGAUUGGAUGUUUCGGAUCCUAGUCGAGUCCUUGCCUGGGUGGUUUCUCAUUCUUCUCUAUAUGUCCGUAUUAGAGAGUAUCAGUAUGACGACCCCACUUGCUUGUCCUCAAGGACACGGUUCAGCAUGGCGAUGCCAAGGAGGUUACUAUUAAGGAUGACAGUGUAUUACGGAUACAGGGCUGGUUAUGUGUGCCCAAUGUGGAUGGUUUGCGUGAGUUGAUUCUUCAGGAGGCCUACAGUUCACGGUACUUCAUUCAUCCGGGUGCCGUUAAGAUAUAUCAGGACUUGAGGCAACACUAUUGGUGGAGGAGGAUGAAGAAGGACAUAGUGAAGUAUAUAGCUCGGUGCCUAAAUUAUUAGCAGGUGAAGUAUGAGCAAUAACGACCGGGUGAUUUGCUUCAGCGGCUUGAGAUUCCUGAGUGGAAUGGGAGCGUGUCACCAUGGACUUCGUUGUUAGACUUCCAUGGACUUAGAAGAAGUUUGACGCGGUAUGGAUGAUUGUGGGCAAGUUGACCAAGUCGGCUCAUUUCAUUCCGGUAGUGACUACCUAUUCUUUAGAGUAGCUGGCUCAGAUCUACAUUCACGAGAUUGUUCGACUUCAUGGCAUACCAGUAUCCAUCAUUUCUAACCGGGGUACACAGUUCACAUCGCAUUUCUGGAAAGCUGUACAGUGUGAGCUAGGCACAUGGGUUGAGUUGAGUACAACAUUUCAUCAUCAGGCAGACAGACAUUCCGAGCGCACUGUUUAGAUAUUGGAUGAUAUGGUCAGCGCCUGUGUUAUGGAUUUUAGGGGUGCUUGGGAUCAGUUCUUGCCACUUGCGGAGUUUGCCUACAACAACAGCUACCAGUCGAGUAUUCAGAUGGCUCCGUAGGAGGCUCUAUAUGGGAGACGAUGCCGUUCUCCAGUUGGGUGGUUUGAGCCAGAAAAGGCUAAAUUAUUAGGCAUGGAUCUGGUUUGAGAUGCUUUGGAGAAGGUCAAGAUGAUCCAGGAUUGGUUUUGUACAACCCAAUCUAGAUAGAAUAGUUAUGCAGAUCGGAAGGUUCGCGAUGUUGAAUUCAUGGUUGGAAAGUGAGUCUUGCUCCGGGUUUCACCCAUGAAGGGUGUGGUGAGGUUCGGAAAUAAGGGCACGUUGAGCCCUAGGUAUAUCGGACAUUUUGAGAUUCUUGAGAGGACUGGAGAGGUGGCCUACAAGCUUGACUUGCCACCUAGUUUAUCUGCGGUUCAUCCGAUGUUCCAUGUAUCUAUGCUCCAGAAGUAUUAUGGUGAUCCGUCUCAUGUUUUAGACUUUAGCACAGUCCAAUUGGAUGAGGAUUUGACUUAUAUUGAGGAGCUAGUGGUGAUCUUGGACAGACAUGUCUGGAAGUUGAGAUCAAAGGAUAUUGCUUUAGUGAAGGUUCAAUAGAGAGGUCAUGCAGUCGAGGAAGUGACCUGGGAGACCGAGCACAACAUGUAGAGUCGUUAUCCUCAUCUAUUCACCGCUUUAGGUAUGUCCUUAUGCACGUUCGAGGACGUUUUCAUGCUUCACACAUGUGUGUUUAUGCUUUUAUGACUUGCGGGGUUGGUUAGUUUCGUUCCGCGAAGUUUUCAGGUUGAUUUGGAUCCUUGAUUCUUGACUUAGAAGUUUAAAUUUGAAAUUGUUGACCAAACUUUGACUUUUCUGAAAACGAUACCGGAAUUAUGUUUUUAUGACUCCGAUAACUUCGUAUUGUGAUUUCGGACUUGGGCGUAGAUUUUGGAAGUCCGUAGGUUGAUUUGUGUUGAUUUGUCGAAAUUUGGCAAUUAAAAGUUGAAAAGCUUGACCAUAGGUUGACUUUUAGCUAUCGAGCCCAGAAUUUAAUUUUGGGACUUGGAAUAGGUCCGGUAUGGUAUUUAGAACUUGUCUGCAAAAUUUGGUUUCGUUUGGAGUUGUUUUGAUAUAAUUCAGACGCUUAGUUGUAAUUCUAGAAGUUCUUGAAAAUUUCUUUGAACAUCAUGCGUUUUAGUGUUUGAUUCGUAGUUUUAGAUGUUAUUUUUGAAUUUUUAUCGUGCGAGUGAGUUCGUAUGAUAUUUUUAUACUUGUGUGGAUGUUUGGUUUGGAGCCCUGAGGGCUCGGAUGAGUUUCAGACAUGUUUUAGAGUCCUUUGGACUGAAAAUGGCAAGCAUUUGGUGUCUGGUGCUCUGGUGUCGCAAAUGCAAACACCAAGUUCUCAUUUGCAAAGGCGACAGGUGAGUGGCAGUUGUCGUAAAUGUUACCUCCCCUUCGCAUUUGCGAAGCUAUCAGAAAUUGGAUAGUGUUUGCAAUUGCGAACAAUUGUUCGCCUUUGCGAUAUUUCCCAGUUCGCAAUUGCGAAGACUUAAUCGCAAUUGCGAUGUAUGCUGAGUCUGUGAGGGUUCGCAAAUACGAGCCCUGAUAUGCAAUUGCGAGGGUUCACAAAUGCGAACCCUAUGUCGCAAAUUCGACAUCUCCCGCUGGUUAAAGGGCUGGGACACAGUAUUUUUGAACUCAUUCUCACAUUUUUGAACCCUAGACUCGGUAGGAGGCGAUUUGGAGAGAGAGUUUUCACCUACAAACCCUGAGUAGGUGAUUUUAAUCUAUUUCUAAUCAUAUUCCAUCAAUAUAUCUUAGAUUUUAACAUCAAAAUCCUAUGAAUCAAAGUGAAAAUUUGUGAAACUUUGUUAGGUUUUUGAAAAAUAAGAAAUUAAGUUUUGAGAGUCGAUUUGGACUCGGAUUUUGAAACUAAUCACAUAUAUGAACUCGUGAGGUCAUGGGUAGACGAAAUCUGCCAUUGGACUCGAGUUUUGACCGGGCGGGCCCUGGGUUGACCUUUGUUGACUUUUUGGGAAAAGUGUAAAGAUCUUAACUUUAUCUAUUGCAAUUGAAUUCUGUAGCAUUGUUUGAUGAUAUUGAGUCGAUUUUAUUUAGAUUUGAGCCGUGCGGAGGCGAACUUUAAGGGAAAAGCUAUUUUCGAGUGUUGAAUUAGCCUAGUUGAGGUAAGUGUCUUGCCUAAAUUUGUGUGGGAGAAACUACACCUUAUAAUUGGUAUUAUUUGCUUUUAUUGUGCUAAGUGAAAUCCGUGUACGCAAAGUGAUGAGUGGGUACACGGGUUGUACGUGGUAUUUGACCGGUUUAGGCUACUUAGACUAUUUUCAUGCUUUAAUCGAAAUGCCAUAUCAUGUUCUAAAUUCUCAUAGUCAAUUUAUCCUUAAUUGUGUUAGACUAUCCUUACAUGCCUUAAUUGACUUGUUUAGAACUUGUUCUACAUCCUACUUGCUAAAUUGCUCCCAUGCUUUAGUUGAACUUGUUGCCUCUUUUAUUGGUACAUUCUAUCUCUUCAUUGUUAAUCAUCAUUAUUUGGAAUUAUUGUUCGUGUUAUCUCUUUCCUUAUUGAUUUUUCGUUACUUGAAGUAAUUGUUCAUGUUAUCCCUUUACUUGUUGAUUUCCAUUAUUUGAGACUCAUUGUGAAAUAUUAUCUCUUUUAUUGUGAGUUAGUCUUAUCUAAUACCGUGGUUAUACAUUAUUUCACUCAUUGUUAAGUUAUUUGGUUUUGAAGUUGUGAAAGUCGUUAAUACGUUGAGGCGAUGUUGGUUAUUGUUGAAACAUCUAUCUUAUUGAGCAUUUUUUCAUUCAUUCAUUGUUGUUGAUAUUCUUGUAUACAUUGUGGUGGAUCCAUGGGCUAUUGUUGUGGAAUCAUUGGUAUUGUUGUGGUUUCUAGCAAGUUGUGAUAUAUGGGCACUUGUGGUGCAAAUUGUUAUUGUGAUAUGAUAUUGACGCGCAUGUGACGGUAUAAGGUUUGGGGUUAAUGUGCAUCCGAUGGUAUAAGGUGGGACUUAUGUGUGUGUGUUGCUUGUAGGGGAGCUACGUGAAGCCAUGUGGCAUCAUAAGGUGGGCUAAAGUGCGUGCAACUAUUUGGGGAAAACUGUUUUCAAAAACCUAUUUCAAAUGUAAGGCUCACGCGACGGUAUAAGGAAAGAUUGUAAUUGAAAUUGAGUAAUGUGAAUACGAGGCAGUACCUCAGUUGUGAUUCUUGAUUAUACGAGGCGGUACCUUGGUUUUAAUUUUAUUAUACCCCAGGCGGUACCUCGUUGUGAUUCUUGCUGUUUAUUUCAUGUUGCAAAGUGUUUUGGUGGGAAUAUUUUUUGUUGUUUCAUUCUUUUAUUAUUCUAGGAGUUGUUGUCUGUACAUGAUCAUUGUAGCCCCUUUAGUUGCUUCUUUUAUGCUGUUUCCAUUGUUGAUUUCCAGUAGUAGUUCAUGCUAUUAUCUUGUUUCGUAUCACUUGUUUCUUCACUUUCCAUUACAUAUACGUAUUACAUUUUUAUACUAUUUAUUUAUAUCCUAGUAUGUGUCUUGACCUGACCUCGUCACUACUCUACUGAGGUUAGGUUUGAUACUUACUGGAUACCGUUGUGUUGUACUCAUACUACGCUUCUGCAUAUUUUUUUGUGCUGAUCCAGGUGCAUCUGCUCGUGCCGGUCGUUAGAGAUUACCUACUAGCUUCCUUUUUUGGAGACUUCAAGGUAUGCCUGCUCGCCAUCCGCAGGCCUCAGAGUCACCUUCCCUUAUUCUCAGUUACUGCUGUAUUUUCUCUCAAACAAUGAUGUAUCAGAUAUUUUAGUUUAUUCAAUAGUGCUUAUGACUCUGUUCCACAGUUCUUAGGGAUUGUAUGGUUGAGAUUUUGCUUUUCAGAAGUUUUAUGAGUUUAUCAAACUGGGUUUAAGUAUUUUGUUAUAUACAAUUGUUCAAUUGUUAUCAAAUAUUAGGCUUACCUAGUCAUAGAGACUAGGUGCCAUCACGACAUCCUAUGGAGGGAAGUUGGGGUCGUGAUAUCAAGAUCCUUUCUCAAUACCUCACAACAUAAAUUCAUGUUCCUGACACAUGCCAAAUGUCCAAACCAAGCACCAAAAUGAAAACCGGGUGCCUACGCUCAUAGUGACACGACCCAAUUUCCCUUAUAGGCCGUAAUGGCGCCCAACGUAGUCGCUAGGCAAGCCAACGGUGAAUUAGCCGUGUAUUUAUUCUUUUUAUAAAUUUCAAAGUAGUUGAUUUUUAUUUAUUAAAUAAGUGAGAAGUGGAAAAUUUAAUAAAGUAAAGCGAAAAUUAAUGAAAGAGCAAAUGCAAUGAAAUAAAUGCUCAAAAGCCAUAAAGUCUACUAGCAAGUUUACAAGACCCGGUGUCACAAGUGUAUGAGCAACUAGUAGAAUAUACAAAUCACUAAGUUACUGUCUGAAAUAGAGUAGACAGAAAGUAAAUAUAAAAUAUAGACUCUGGGUGCUGCAGAACAGACUUAGAAAGCAGCUCACUACUAAGCCUCGAGGUAACGGGGGUGCAUGCCUGAAUGGACACUAGAUGCACAUGCCUCAAAUCCUACACGAUUAGUGCAGAAGUGUAGCGUGAGUACAUAAACAACAUGUAUCCAGUAAGUAUCCAUUCUAACCUCGAAGAAGUAGUGACGAAGGGUCGACAUUGACACUUACUAUGGGCCAAUAAUAAAAUACAGAAAUGCUAAAUAGGCAUGGAAUAUGUGAAUAAUAAAAAUAACUCAAUAGCAUGCAGUGAAUAAAUGAUUCUUUAACUGAUAGUAAAUUCCAAAACCCCGUUCUAACACAUACUAGUUCCAAAUCAACUUCGGUCAUUAAGUAAAUUAUAACCUCUCAAGCCAUAACAUAAUGUCAAGUGAAAUCGGGCUCUAAGUAUUAUCACGCACGAUUUAUGCCGAGGUCGUACAACCCGAUCCAAAAUACUGUGUGCACUGUCGAUGGUCGAACGACACAAACCAUAGAUGUAUCUAUUAUACUGCCGAAAUGAAUGACCCGCUCCCAUGAGAGUACAAAAGUUUACCUCGCUUGCGAAAGUACUUGCGACGCGAGAGUACAUGAAUUUCUCAGAGUUAUUAUGUAUUCCUCAAUUCUUCCCAAAAAUAAGAAAUCUAAAUUGGAAGUUUUCAACUUUAAAAUCUCUAGUCUCAGCUCUAUUUAAGAUAAUUAAUAUGCAUGACAAGCAUGACAGUACAAUUAAAUCAUGAUGUGAAUCUAAGACUACCCGGACAUCUCAUGGAAUAUAGCCGCGCGCGGACUCUCUUCACCUAGUGCGUACGUAGCUCCCCACACAAGUAAUACACAACAAAAAUACACCUAAGAGGAUGAGUUCCCUCUUACAAGAUUAGGCAAGAGACUUACCUCGUUCUCAAGCUCACUUGCGGUCCACUAGUCCACUCUAAAAGCCCCAAGUCGAUGCCGAACAAUUCGAAACUAGUCAAAUAUUACAUAAUUUAAUUAAUAUAUACUCAAAACUCCAUUAUUUAGCUAUUAGAGUAGUUACCCAACCCUAAUUGGGAGAUUCUUAAAAUUCGCCCCCAGGCUCACGUGCCCGAAUUCCGGAAAUUUUCGAAGAUAAAUAUUACCCAUAGCCUCACGAACUCAAAUAUAUAAUUUUUAUUUAAUUCCAUAACCAAAUUUCGUGGUUAAAUCCUAUUUCUAUCAAAACCCUAGGUUCUUCACAAAUCUCACAAGUUUUCACAAUCUUCCCAUGUUUAAUCUACCUAAAACCCCAUAAUUAACUUAAAAAUGGGUGGGAGUUACUUACCUUAGGAUAUUGAUGAGAAUCUCCCCUUAAAUGUGUUCUCAAAAUUGCCCAAGACCAAAUGAAAUGUGAGGGAAAAUGGCCUAAGUCUCGGAUUAAAAACCCUCACUGCCCAGCGACUCCCGCACCUACGACCACUUGAUCACAUCUGCGGAACCGCAAGUGCGGUCAAAAAGGUCGCACCAGUGAUCCCCCACUACCUCCAGCUUCCUCGCUUUUGCGGAUGGAGAGGCACUUGUGCGGUACCGCUUCUGUGGACUCCCUUCGCUUCUGGGUAUUCCUACCGCUUCUGCGACCCACAACCGGCUAGCCCAAGUCCGUAUCUGCGGAGCCUCGAUCGCUUCUGCGGGUGCACAGAUGCGGAAUAACCCUCACACCUAUGGCCACCCAGCUCCAGCCUUAGGUCCUCUUCUGCGACCACUGGUCCGCUUCGGCGAGGUCGCACCUGCAGCCAAAAUCUCGUAGGUGCGAAGGCACCAGAACUGAAGCACCAACAGUUCCCCCAAGCCAUUUCCGAGUCCGAGUCUGAUUCUAAUCCGUUUCACACACGGGGCCCCGGGACCCCAUCCAAUCAGACUCAUACAUCCAACAACAUGAUACAGACCCGCUCACAUGAUCAAAACACCAAAAUAACAUCUAGAAUUAAGAAUUGGACACCAAAACGCAUGAAUUCUACAUGAAACUCAAAAACUUCUAAAAACACUUCCGCGCGUCCGAUUUCUAUCAAAUCAACUCGGAAUGACGCAAAAUUUUGCAUGCAAGUCAUAAAUCACCAUACAGAACUACUCCCAGGCUCGAAAUCCCAAAUGGACCUCGAUAACACAAAAACCUACUCUAAACCAAACUUAAAGAACUUGAAAACCUUCAAUGUGCAAACUUCUAAUAUUAAGCGCCAAAAUGCUCCCGGGUCAUUCAAAACCCGAUCCGAAUAUAUGCCCAAGUCCAAAAUCAUCAUAGGAACCUAUUGCGACUGUCAAAUACCGGUUCCAAGGCCGUUUACUUAAAACGUUUACUCAAGGCAAACUUAACCAUUUUAAGCCAAUAUUAAGGAACUAAGUAUUCUGAUUUCAACCCGAACCCUUCCAAACCCGAACUAACCAUCCCCGCAAGUUAUAAAAUAGUAAAAACACGUAAGAGGAGUCUUAAUUAGGGGAUCAGGAAUCUAGAAAGCCUAACAACCGGUCGGGUCAUUACAUUCUCCACCUCUUAAACAAACGUUCAUCCUCGAACAGGUCUAGUAUCGUACCUGGAGUGCCGAAUAAGUAUGGAUAUAUGCUCCGCAUGUCCUUCUCGGUCUCCCAAGUUGCCUCUUCGACUAGUUGACCCCUCCACUGAACCUUUACCGCAGAAAUCUUCUUGGACCUCAAUUGGCGAACCUGUAUGUCAACAAUGGCAACUGGCUCCUCCUCAUAACCCAGGCUCUCAUCUAGCUAAAGCUGUAGUCUAACACAUGCGACCUAUCAGCAUGAUACUUCCAAAUCAUAGACACAUGAAAAUCCAGAUGAACUCCCAAUAGAUUGGGAGGCAAAGCAAGCUCAUAAGCAACCUCCCCAACUCGCCUUAAUAUCUCAAAUGGGCAUAUAAACCUUGGGUUCAACUUGCCCUUCUUCCUGAACCUCAUUAUUCCCUUCAUCGGCGAGACUUUCAAGAGAACCUUCUCGCCCACCAUAAAUGAUAAAUCACGCGCCUUCUAAUCCACGUAAUCUUUCUGUCUAGACUGUGUUGUGCAAAGUCGCUUCUGAAUCAACAUUUCCUUUUCCAAAGCAUCCUUCACAAAAUCAGUACCAUAUAACUUAGCCUCGCCGGGCUCAAACCAUCCGAUCGGCGAACGACAUCGCUGUCCAUAUAAAGCCUCAAAUAGAGCCAUCUCGAUGCUGGACUGAUAACUAUUGUUGUAAGAGAACUUGGCCAAAGACAAAAAUCGAUCCCACUGCUCUCCGAAGUCAAUCACACAUGCUCUGAGCAUAUCCUCCAAGAUCUAAACCGUCCGCUCUGGCUGCAUGUCGGUCUGCUGAUGAAAGGCUGUGCUGAGCUCUACCCGGGUCCUCAACUCACUCUGUACUGCCCUCCAGAAAUGCGAAGUAAACUGGGGGCCUCUAUCUGAUAUGAAGGAAACAUGCACACCAUGCAACCGAACAAUCUCCUGAAUGUAAAUCUGGGCCAAUCUCUUUGAAGAAUACAUAGUCACAACGGGAAUGAAGUAUGCCGACUUGGUCAACCUAUCGACAAUGACCCAAACUGAAUCAAACUUCCUCAAAGUCCGCAGCAACCCAACCACGAAGUCCAUAGUAAUGCGGUCCCAUUUCCACUCAGGUAUAACCAUUUGCUGGAGUAGGCCACCUGGCCUCUGAUGCUCAUACUUAACCUGCUAGAAAUUUAGGCACCUUACUACAUAUUCAACUAUGUCCUUCUUCAUCCGCUGCCACUAAAAUGCUGCCUCAGAUCGCGAUACAUCUUCGUAGCACAUGUAUGAAUAGAAUACCGAGAACUGUGUGCCUCUUCUAGAAUCUCCUCCAUCAAUCCGUCAACAUUAGGAAUACAUAGACGACCUAGGAGUCGCAGAACACCAUCCUCAUCAAUAACAACCUCCUUGGCACCACCUUGUAGUACCGUCUCUCUAAGAACCAACAAGUGUGGAUCGUCGUACUGACGAGCCUUAAUCUGCUCGAAUAAUGAAGACUGAGUGACGACGCAUGCAAGAACUUGCCUGGGCUCGGAAAUAUCCAACCUCACAAGUCUGUUAGCCAAGGACUAAAUGUCCAGCGCUAAUGGUCUCUCAUCUGCUGAAAUGAAUACCAAACUACCCAUACUCGCCGCCUUUCUGUUCAAGGCAUCCGCUACCACAUUCGCCUUGCCUGGAUGAUAAAAGAUGGUAAUAUCAUAAUAUUUUAGUAACUCUAGCCACCUGCGCUGCCUUAAACUGAGAUCCCUCUACUUGAACAAAUGCUGCAAGCUACGAUGAUCUGUGUAAACCUCACAGGACACCCCAUAAAGAUAAUGCCUCCAGAUCUUAAGAGCAUGAAUUAUCGCGACCAACUCCAAAUCAUGCAUGGGGUAAUUCUUCUCGUGGGGCUUCAACUUACGUGAAGCAUAUGCAAUAACUCGCCCUCCUGCAUCAAUACACAACCUAUGCCAACUUGUGAAGCGUCGCAAUGCACAAUAUACAUUCCUGAACCGGAAGGCAACACUAACACCGGUGCUGAAGUCAAGGAGGUCUUGAGCUUCUGAAAGCUCGCCUCACAUUCGUCGAACCAUAGGAAAGGAGCACCCUUCUUGGUCAAUCUAGUCAAAGGUGCUGUAAUGGAUGAGAAGCCCUCCACAAACCGACUAUAAUAACCUGCUAACCCUAAGAAGCUCCUAAUCUCUUUCACUGUGGUAGGACGAGGCCAACUCUAAACUGCCUUGAUCUUCUUGGGAUCUACCUUAAUACCCCCGCCUGAUACAACAUGCCCCAAGAAUGCCACAGAAUCCAACUAGAACUCACACUUGGAGAACUUAACAUAUAGCUUCUGUUUUCGCAAGGUCUGAAGCACCACUCUCAAAUGCUGCUCGUGCUCCUCCAUGCUACAUGAGUAGAUUAAUAUGUCAUCAAUGAAGACAAUGACAAACAAGUCAAUAUAUGGCCGGAACACCCAAUUCAUCAAGUCCAUAAAUGCCGCCAGGGCGUUAGUCAAACUGAAGGACAUCACUAGAAACUCAUAGUGGCCAUAUCUAGUUCGGAAAGCCGUCUUCGGAACAUCUGAAUCAUGAAUAUUCAAUUGAUGAUACCCCAUUCUCAAGUCAAUCUUAGAGAACACCUUUGCACCCUGCAACUGGUCAAACAAAACAUCAAUACGCGGCAACAAGUACUUUUUCUUAAUGGUAACUUUAUUCAACUGGCGGUAAUCGAUGCACAUUCUCAUAGUCCCAUCUUUCUUCUUCACAAACAACACAGGUGCACCGCAAGGCGACACACACGGUUUGAUGAACUCCUUUGCUAUCAACUCCUCAAGCUGCUCUUUCAACUCCUUCUACUUUUUCGAAUCCAUGCGGUACGGUGGAAUAGCGAUAGGCUGGGUACCUAGAGCCAAAUCAAUACAGAAAUCGAUAUCACGAUUUGGUGGCAUGCUUGGAAGAUCAGCAGGAAACACAUCAGAGAACUCCCAUGCCACGGGCACUGAAUCAAUCACUGGAGUUUCUGUAGUAGUAUCCCGAGCCUAAGCUAGAUAAGCCAAAGAACCCUUCUCGACCAUGUGCCGAGCCUUUAGAAAAGAGAUAACCCGACUAGGUGCACUAACGGACGAGCCCUUCCACUUUAAUCUAGGCAACUCUGGCAUCGCCAAGGUAACAGUCUUGGCAUGGCAAUCAAGGACAACAUAAUAUGGAGACAACCAGUCAAUGCCUAGGAUGACCUCAGAGUCGGUCAUAUCAAGCAACAGAAGAUCUACUUUAGUCUCACAACCACAGAAAGUCACGAUAUAGGACCGAUAGAUCCGAUCCACAACAACAGAAUCGCCCACUGGCAUGGACACAUAAACAAGAGCACCGAAGGAUUCGCGAGGAAGACCUAGAAAAUGAGAAAAUAGACAUGAAACAUAUGAAUAUGUAGAUCUUGGAUCAAAUAGUACCGAAGCAUCCUUACCGCAGACAUAAAUGAUACCUAUGAUCCCGACAUCUGAGGCUACUGCAUCUGGUCUGGCUGGAAAGGCAUAGAACCUAGCUAGAGCGCCACCUGACUGGCCUCCACCUCUAAGAUGGCCCCUACCAACCUGCCCUCUGCCUCUGAGCGACCGGACGGCUGGUGCGGUAGCUGGUGCUGUAAUCAUAGGCUGAUGACCCUGCUGUACAGCCUUGCCCCGGAGUCUGGAGCAAAAUCUCUUCAUGUUGCCAGGAUCCCCGCACUCAAAACAACCCCUCGGAAUGGUGGACUGCUGACCUAAAGUCUGACCCUGAUGUCCUAAAUACCCACUAGAGGAACCCUGAAUAGCUGGCAGGCGGUAGGCGCUCUCUGGAAUAGCGUAAAAUAGGGCCGCACUGGAUAUGUGGUCCUGCUAGACUGACCCCUCACAAACUGACCUGUGCCCCCAAUCAUAGCACCACUGAACCCUUCAGAAUAUUGAAACCGCUUGUCCCUUGGCAUCUGCUCUCAUCUCCGCUGACGAACACCUUUGAUCCUCCGAGCUAUCUCUACAACUAACUCGUAAGAGGUCCCCAUCUCAACCUCUCGGGCCAUAGUGGCCUGGAUACCAGAGUGCAAACCUGCAAAAAACCUCCGCACUCUCUCUGCAUUGGUAGGAAGUAUCAAAAGUGUAUGGCGAAACAACUUAGAGAAUCUCGCCUCAUAGUCGGUCACCGAAAUCAGACCCUGCCAGAGCUGCUCGAACUGAAAUCGCAACUCUUCCCUCUGAGAGGGUAGAAUAUAUCUAUCCAGGAAGAGGCGUGCGAACUGAUCCCAAGUCAAGGUUGGAGAACCUGCUGUCCUGCCGAGAAGAUAGGGAUGUCACCAUCUACGGGUCCUGCCCUCUAGCUGAAAGGUGGUAAAGUUCACCCCGUGGGACUCCAGUAUCCUCAUGUUGUGCAGUCUAUCCCUGCAAUGAUCAAUAAAGUCCUGGGGGUCCUCAUGUCACUCAUCUCCAAAGACAGGAGGAUGUAGCCUGGUCCAUCUAUCCAAUAGCUUUUGCGACUCGCCGCCCGCAGUCGGUCUGGGCUCAGGUAUAGCUGCUGCAACUAGCUGAGCUCCGCCCACAGGUAGUGUGCCCAGGGUUUGAUAUACGAUAACUGCAUGCUUUGGAGCCUGAGCGGUAGGGAUCUAUGCUCCCCAUCCCGCCUAAGAUAUGGUUGGGUCUGCUAGAAAUAAACCAGCUUGAGUCAUAGAAUCCAUGAACCGCAACUUACGGCCCAUCGCCUCCUGGAAUCCUGGUUCAGACAUGAAGUCCACUGGGGCUGGCUCCGCUACAGGCACCUCGCCCUGCUCCUUAAUAGCAGGAUCCUCCACUGGAUCCACUGGUGGCACAACUGGAGCAACUCUAGGACGUCCUCGUCCUCUACCACGAGCUGGGGCCUUUCCUUUGCCUCUGCCUCGGCCUCUAGCAACAGGGACAACUGCUCCUUCAUGGUUGGGUACAUCUGCCGUGCGCGUUCUCUCCAUCUGUGAGAGAAUAAGAGAAAGACACUUAGCACAACAUCAACUGCAUGAUAGGAUAUGAAGAAAGUGUUGUUUCCUAACACCCUAUAGCCUCUCGAAGAUAAGUACGGACAUCUCCGCACUGAUCCGCAAGACUCUAUUAGGCCUGUUCAUAACUUGUGAGACCUACAUGAACCUAAUGCUCUCAAUACCUCACAACAUAAAUUCAUGUUCCUGACACAUUCCACAUGUCCAAACCAAGCACCAAAAUGAAAACCGGGUGCCUACGCUCGUAGUGACACGACCCAAUUUCCCUUAUAGGUCGUGAUGACGCCCAACGUAGUCGCUAGGAAAGCCAACGGUGAAUUAGUCUUGUAUUUAUUCUUUUUAUAAAUUUCAAAGUGGUUGAUUUUUAUUUAUUAAAUAAGUGAGAAGUGGAAAAUUUAAUAAAGUAAAGCAAAAACUAAUGAAAGAGCAAAUGCAGUGAAAUAAAUGCUCAAAAGCCAUAAAGUCUACUAGCAAGUUUCCAAGACCUAGUGUUACAAGUGUAUGAGCAACUAGUAGAAUAUACAAAUCACUAAGCUACUGUCUGAAAUAGAGUAGACAGAAAGUAAAUACAAAAGAGACACUCCGGGUGCUGCAGAACGGAAUCAGAAAGCAGCUCACCACUAAGCCUCGGGGUAACGAGGGUGCGUGCCUGAAUGGACACCAGAUGCACCUGCCUCAGAUCCUGCACGAUUAGUGCAGAAGUGUAGUAUGAGUACAUAAACAACAUGUAACCAGUAAGUAUCCAGUCUAACCUCGAAGAAGUAGUGACGAGAGGUCGACAUCGACACUUACUAUGGGCCAAUAAUAAAAUAUAGAAAUGCAAAAUAGGCAUGGAAUAUUUGAAUAAUAAAAAUAACUCAAUAGCAUGCAGUGAAUAAAUGAUUUUUUAACUGAUAGUAAAUUCCAAAAUGCCCAUCUAACACAUACUAGUUCCAAAUCAACUUCGGUCAUUAAGUAAAUUAUAACCUCUCAAGCCAUAACAUAAUGUCAAGUGUAAUCGGGCUCUGAGUAUUAUCACACAUGAUUUAUGCAGAGGUCGUCCGACCUGAUCCAAAAUACUGUGUGCACUGCCGAGGGUCGAAUGACACGAACCAUAGAUGCAUCUAUUAUAUUGCUGAGGCGAAUGGCCCGCUCCCAUGAGAGUAGAGAAGUUUAACUCGCUCGCAGAAGUACUUGCGACACGAGAGGACAUGAAUUUCUCAGAGUUAUUAUGUAUUCCUCAAUUCUUUCCAAAAAUAAGAAAUCUAAAUUAGAAGUUUUCAACUUUAAAAUCUUUAGUCUCAACUCUAUUUAAGAUAAUUAAUAUGCAUGACAAGCAUGACCAUAGAAUUAAAGCAUGAUGUGAAUCUAAGACUAUCCGGACAUCUAAUGGAAUAUAGCUGCACACGGACUCUUGUCACCUAGUGCGUACGUAGUUCCCCACAUAAGUAAUACACAAUAAAAAUGCACCUAAGGGGAUGAGUUCCCUCUUACAAGGUUAGGCAAGAGACUGACCUCGUUCCCAAGCUCAUUUCCGGUCCACUAAUCCGCUCUAAAAGCUCUAAGUCGAUGCCGAACAAUCCAAAACUAGUCAAAUAUUACAUAAUUUAAUCAAUAUAUACUCAAAACUUCAUAAUUUAGCUAUUAGAGUAGUUACCCAACCCAAAUUGGAAGAUUCCUAAAAUUCGCCCCCGGGCCCAGGUGCCUGGAUUCCUGAAAUUUUCGAAGAUAAAUAUUAUCCAUAGCCUCACGAACUCAAAUAUAUAAUUUUUAUUUAAUUCCAAAACCAAAUUUCGUGGUCAAAUCCCAUUUCUACCAAAACCCUAGGUUCUUCACAAAUCUCACAAGUUUUCACAAUCUUCCCAUUUUAAUCUACCUAAAACCUGCAUAAUUAACUUGAAAAUAAGUGGGAAUUACUUACCUUAGGAUAUUGAUGAGAAUCUCCCCUCAAAUGUUCUCUUAAAAUUUCCUAAGACCAAAUGAAAUGUGAGGGAAAAUGGCCUAAGACUCGCAUUAAAAACCGUCACUGCCCAGCGACUCCCGCACCUGCAGCCACUUGAUCGCAUAUGUGGAAUCACAAGUGCGGUAAAAAAGGUCGCACCUGCGAUCCCCCACUGCGUCCAGCUUCCUUGCUUCUGCGGACGGGGAGGCACUUCUGUGGGACCGCUUCUGCGGACUCCCUUUGCUUCUGCAGUUGCCUACUGCUUCUGCGACCCAUAACCGACCAACCCAAGUCUGCAUCUGCGGAGCCUCGAUUGCUUCUGCGAGUGCACAGAUAUGGAACAACCCUCGCACCUACGACCACCCAACUCCAGCCUCAGGCCCGCUUCUACGGCCACUUGGCCGCUUCUGCGAGGUCGCACCUAUGGCCAAACUCUCACAGGUGCGAACGCACCAGAACUAAAGGACCAACAAUUCCCCCAAGCCAAUUGCGAGUCCGAUUCCAAUCCGUUUCACACCUGGGCCCCCCCAGGACCCCAUCCAAUCAUACUCUCACCUCCACCAACAUGAUAUGGACCCACUCGCACGAUCGAAACAUUAAAAUAAUAUCAAUAAUUACGAAUCGAACACCAAAAUGCAUGAAUUCAACAUGAAACUCAAAACAUCUAAAAACACUUCUGCGUGUCCGAUUCCUAUCAAAUCAACUCGGAAUGACGCCAAAUUAUGCGUGCAAGUCAUAAAUCACCAUACAGAACUACUCCCAGGCUCGAAAUCCCAAACAAACCUCAAAAACACGAAAACCUACUCUAAACCAAACUUAAAGAACUUGAAAACCUUCAAUGGGCCAACUUCUAAUAUUAAGCGCCGAAAUGCUCCCGGGUCAUCCGAAACCAAUCCGAAUAUACGUCCAAGUCCAAAAUUAUACAAACCUAUUGGGACCGUCAAAUCUCGGUUCCGAGGUCGUUUACUCAAAAUGUUGACUCAAGUCAAACUUCACCAUUUUAAGCCAAUAUUAAGGAACUAAGUGUUUCGAUUUCAGCCCGAACCCUUCCAAAACCGAACUAACCAUCUCUGCAAGUCAUAAAAUAGUAAAAACACAUAUGAUGAGUCUUAAUUAGGGGGACAGGGAUCUAGAAAGCCAAACGACCAGUCGGGUCAUUACACGUAGGGCCCAAAGUAAUAUGAGUAAUCACCUGACCCUGGAGGGACGGAUCCUCAAAGCGUUGUUCAUUUAACAAUUAAUGAUCGAUAACCAAUAUAUCAAUUUCUGCUCAUGGUGUAUGUAAUGCCAAAAUCCUCAACUUUUCACAACAACCAAAUCUCAACACAUGCAUAUGUGUAUGAACCAAUAUAAUAAAGAAGCAUUGGACAUAACAAUAAGAAUGUAAAAGCUCAUAUAGCUAAAAGACGACGAUCAUGCAAUUUAAUUUAUCACAACAGAUCAAUAAUCUAUUUAAGCAUGCACAAAUCUAAUCAUAUUAUCUAACAUGAGUCAAUUAAGCCAUAUAACCACCAAAUCAUGGAGAAAAUAAGAUAAAUGUAAGACUAUGGAUUAAUAAUAAAUCUCAACAUGGAAAAAUAAUCCUUUAUAUCUGAUUCAACAAGUCAUAAACUUAAGAAUGCUCCUAAAUCAUAAUUAUGAAUCAUCACAUAGUAUUAGAAUCAAUUUGAAACAUAGAUAAUAACUUCACAUAAUCCAAACAGGGCAUAACUCAAGUUAGCACUACUAGAUAUGGUCAUGACCUAGAUAUGCAUAUACACACUUCACCUCGAAUAUACGUGGCUCCUAAAUCAAUCACAAGUAGCAAAUAGAUCACCUAUGUGGAGAAUUCUCUUUUACAAGGAUAAACAAGAGACUUACCUUCAUUUGGUAAGCUUCAACUUUCUAAAAUAUCUUUCCCUCACAAAUCAACCUCCAAACGACUCGAAUCUAGUCAAAUACAACUUAAUAACGUCAAACAAAGCCAUAAGAAUCCAUUCCAAAUAGUAAAUCUUCUUAAUCAAAUUUCCAAGAGUCAACAAAAGUCAACUUAGGCUCACAUGGUCAAAACCCAAGUCAAGGGAUAGAUCCUGACUACCCAUAACCUCAUGAGUCUAAAUAUGUGAUUAGAUUUCAAAAUCGAGUUCAAAUCGGUACUCAAAUCCCUAAAUUACACUCUCUUAAAUUGUAGACAAAUACCUCAAAUUUUCUUUUGAAUUUCAUAAUAAGUGUAUAAAUUCAUGGGAAAACAAGAUAUAUGAUCAAAAUCAAUUAUAAAUCACUUACUCUCAAAGAGGUAGGGAAAAUCCCUUCCAAAAUCGCCUAUUGCCGAGCCCAAAAUAGUGAAAUAUGAGCUAACCCUUGAUAAAUGACCAAAAGUUCUUGAUUUUGACGGUGUUUUAUUGCAUUUGUCGUGUGAGUUAAGGAGAUUACAUGAUUUUUGAAGUGAAAUAUACUCAUUACGUGUUUUUUGUGUGCAGGAGUGAGUUCAGAUGAUAAUGGAUCACAAGA